RNAcentral lists this long non-coding RNA (7637 nucleotides) under Gossypium raimondii (Peruvian cotton). RNAcentral's name for it is "long non-coding RNA (GRAI_LNC002013)". Lineage: Eukaryota; Viridiplantae; Streptophyta; Magnoliopsida; Malvales; Malvaceae. The record is from RNAcentral.
UGCUUUUUAAACAGGCUUUUGCAACAAAAAGUGUUUUUCUCUUAAAAGCAAAGAAGAACGGCUAUCGUUUCAAAAUUUACGGCUAUCGUUUCAAAAUUUUUUUCACCAUUUGAGAAGUGCUUUUUGGCUGAUGAAGAAGUUAAAAAUUUCUCCAUUUCUUCAGCCAAAAGUCCGUUUGGCUGAUAAUUUCCCAUUUUAACCUGCCUUCUCUCCCAAAAAAGUUUCUUUUCUCUGGUUCUUUAGAGGAGCUCUAUACCCAUUUUUCACAUUUUCACUUUCAAAAUUUUGGCUUACUGCUUUCGAUUAGAAUUUUCAGGGAAAAUUCUGGAUUACUGCUUUGCUUUACUCUACUCGGUGGCUGUGGUUUGGGGAUUGAGAAUCGAGAUAAAAGAAAUGGAGAAGGGAAACAGGCAAGUAGUUGUUUCAGCAUUGAAAUUCGCUUGCACCGACGAUGUGCCCACCUAUCUCGCCACUGCCGAAAGGUUUCUUUUUUUUUUUACUCCUCCUAUUACUUCCCAUUUGAUUAGAUUUUCUUGGUCUUUCAUUAAUUUCGAAUUGUAUUAUCUGAUCAAACCUAUAUUCUGGAUUUGCUUUGCUACUCUUCUACUUUCAUCUAUUAAAAAGUCUCUUCAUAUUGGUUUUGUGGUUUCUUUUAGUUAAUUCUUCCUUUAGUCUUUAGUCUCUAUUUGAUUGAGAUUUGGAACUGUGGUGUAAAUUGUUUGUUUGAUUCUUAUAUGAGAGUGAGCCUAUUUACUAUGUGGUGAAGAACCGAUAAAAGAAAAACAAAGGAUAUAGAGACUGUUCAUGGUUAUAAAUUGUUUUCAAAAUUAAUUUGGUUUCAUUGGAACUGUUCAAGUUCGAACUUUUGGGCAUUUUCUGCAGUUGUUCAUUGGAGACACUAAGUACAUUGAAGUUUGCACAGCGGGUUAAAUUUAUUAAGAACAAUGUAUGAGAUCUUUGCUUAGCUACUUUUAAUUCAAUGCAUGGCUUACUCGUCAUUCAUGUGAUUUCCUGAAAUCCUCUGUUUCAUUUUCUGUUCCCAACGGGAACCGAUGCUAGCCUUUGAGCCUGUUUAGACUACAUACUCUAUACUUGUAUACUAAUAAUAAGAGUUUUGUGUUGUGGAACCCAUUUAGUUAAAAAGGUAGAGUGAUACCAAGUUUUUUUCAUGUAUAUAUAUUUAAAAAUACAACUUUUUGUUAAAAAAAAUUUAUUUGUUUUAACCUCUUAAUCAGUUAGUCAAAUUCUAGUUAAUGUAUAUAGUUUUUAAAUUUUGGAUGUCAUAUUUAUUGAAAGAUUUGAACUAAUGUAUUGUAGGCAGUGGUAAAUGAAGAUGCAUCUGGAGAUGUUGUUGCUAUGAGACUGCAAAUUCAACAGCUGAAGGUAUUAUAUAUUAAAAUAUUAACAAUAAGUUAUAAUAAAUUAUUUUUUUAUAUUUUUGCUAAAAUAUCAUAAUAUUAACUAAUUUGAACAUUAUUUAAAUACAUAUUUGUUACUUUAUAAUCUCAUGUCUAAAAUGGACAUUUUAUUCUUCAAAAGCACUUUUUGACAGCAAUGCCAAACACUCAAAUUUCUCAAAAGCACUUCUCAAAAACACUUUUCAAAAGCACUUCUCAAAAGCACUUCUCAAAAGCAAUAAAGAACUGACCCUAAAUAAUACCAAUUCAUAUAUUUUGAAUAAAAAAUAAAAUAUUUAUCUCAAAAUUUUUAUAUGAUUAAAUUUCAAAAUAAUUUUAAAUAUUUAAUAUGUAAUUAAUAGUACUUAAAAUAAAUUUAAAUUCAAAAUAAUAUUAUGAUUCGAUUGUUAGAAAAACAUUGUAUAAAAUAAAUAAAUAAAUAAAUAAAAAUUAGAUAAUUUUGUCUCAAAAGUAAAUUUUUACUCCCUUUUGUACAAUCCCAGAGCUUAGACAAAUGUCAACACAAUAAGUUAUCAAAAUCAACUUUUUCACCUCCUGCCACCAAGUCCUUCCUUUACCCAGCUGUCUUCCCAUGAAAAGACUACUCGCUCUUCCUCAAAACUGGCCUUGAUCACUCGCUUCCACGAUAAGGCCACUAGCUCAAUAAGUUACAUCAUCAAACACUCGUUUUUUAAGUGCAAAGCACUUAUCCAAGUGUGAACACGCCUCUAAUGACGAGUGGGCUCUACCAGGGAAUGAUAAUAACCUUGUACUAUCUAAGACCAUUACAUUUGCACCUCAUGUACACUAUGCCAGUAUGCCCACUGUCCAUUGUAAUGACCUACCACAUCACACUAUAAGACAAGAUGACCUCUCCUAUAAAUGCCCUCCCAGCAAUGAGGAAACGAUCAAUUUUUGCUUUAAUGAGUUAUGUUAACACACCACAUCCGGCCUGAUCGUCGAAUCCAGGUAUGGAGCGUCACAAAAUAAAACCAUUGGACUGGCUGUAACUAAUAGACAUCCAAAUACCCUAACGAUUUCAUGUUAUACCAAAACAAGAGAUGGUUCACAAAUAGGCCGCAAAUUUGGAUGAUUCCUUACAAUGAUACGUCUAACCUAAGAGCUUGAAAAUAAGAAGAAAGAAACUAAGUAAGCUCAUAAGAACUUAAUGAGUUCCAAGGAAAUAUAAUCCUACAAUAGGGUUCAACAAACACUAUUACGCUAGGAUUUAGACUGACAAAUGGUAUGCCACUUUUGGCGGAUACAAUUCUUUAUGUUUUCAAAGUAUCCGUCGGUGGAUACUUUUGCAAAUAGACAUAGCCCCAUGGCGAACGUUGCCCGCUAAUAGAGACAUGCAUUUAACGGGUACAAGACACAACUAUUCUACUUGUAUAUCUCAUUUGUGAACUACCCUUCUAUGAUCGUUUCUCGUACUUUUCACACUUCAUGCAACAUUCACACUAUGUUUAACAUGAUAUACACCCCUUUUUGUCUGUAUACUCCCUUCCUUGUGCUAGCUUCUAAUCCUAAUUCUGAAGAACCAUUAAUCCUGCAUCUUCAUACCGUUCCUUAGAGCCAUUAAACCAAUCAUAAUCUCAAUACCUUCAUCAUUCCUCCUUGUAAUCUGAACACAUGAGUAUUCCCCCGCAAGGCCAAGUACUCACCGGUCACGGUUUGCACCAAAGUGCCAUAUCAAAGGUAAAAUAUAAUAUCAUGGAUCUUUUUUUCAUCAUUAUACGUAGCAACCCUCCGAUACCUUAUUACACCAUUCUGGAUACGGAGCUUGUGCACUAAGGAAAGAGUAUUUAUACCCAUGUACAUGUAAUUUUUCUAUUUCUAUUUUACAGACUGUAAUCGUAUAUGCAUAAAAUGUUUACCAUGACCCCUUUAGCACAUUACCAGGACCAAAGAUUAAAGCUACUUAAUUGGGUAUACAGCAGGAAAGUUUAAACAUAAUAAUAUUGAUAACGAACUCAAGGUAGAAAAGAACUCAUCAAGAACCUUCACUUAGAGCUUUCCUACUCAACGGGUUCUUUCCUUUUAGCACUGGGACCUUCUCCCGUAUCUUUGGCUAAAACAAUCAAAUAACUUCUUUAAAUAUAAAAACAACCAAAUCUUAAUGAAAUACCAUGAGUCAAUAAACAUGCAACAAUUCCCAGAUGAAAGUUUUCUUCCUAUCUAGUAUACAAAUGGUAACCCUACUGAACAACCCUUACAACAGCUCCUUUCUAUCUGGUAAAACUUAAAUAAGGAUUUAAGAAUUUACCAGCAAACAAAUUUUAAGAAAGAAGCUCCUAAAAGCUUAACUAAAAAUUCUACCUAUAACACCUCUAACUUGUCUCCACCGCCGAAUUAGGGUUACAAAAUGUUAUUGUACAAAACAGAACAAAUAAUUCAACUUACAAAAUAAUUUCUAAUUAGUCAAAUUAAUCAUGGUAAUAAUACACAUUUGAGCCUUAAAUCAAGCUACUAGGGCCCUAGAAUCAAUUUAAAAGUAAUCAAGGAUUGAUUUAAAUAAAUCAGGCCCAGACCGUGUGACUCCAGAUAUGGUCGUGUGGUUAUCCACACACUUGUGUGUGCAGGCCGUGUAACUCUCCGUGACCGUGUAGCUCAGGGUCACACAACCGUGUCGCUAAGCCGUGUAACUUUUUGUGCCUGUGUGAACCAACUUGCACCCAAAAUUUUUAAGACACACAUGUGACAGCCUAUGUCCCAGGUUGUGUGCUCCAUAAUUAGCCCCUAAAAUAAGCCAUUUUAAAAUCAAACCUUUCCCAACAAUCUACUCCAUUUGCACACACUCAAAGGCCCUAAACAAACAUCAAACAUUCAUAACAUACCAAUUCAAUCAACUUAGCUCUUCUAACCAUAUGCCAUUUAAAGACACCUCAUUUCAUGCCAAAACAAAAUCCAUUAAGAACAAAGCUAUAAUUCUACUUCUCAAUCACAAAACUUAGGUAAAUUAGUUACCUGAUGUCAAUCAUCAUCAUCCCAUAUUACCAUUCAAAAUAAGCAUACCAAAAUGACUAUUUACACAUAUAUCUUUUAACAUGUACAAGCCAACUAUACCAUAUAUGCAUAUAACCAUUUACAAAAGUAACCAAAACACAACAAAAGUAUUAAUGACAUUAAACCCUAUAUAUUAAGCCUUAUACAUACCAUUUAUAACCAAAACAAAAAUAUUCAAAAACUACCAAGGUGAAUUUUAGAUAGUAUGAUAAGACUCCGACAAGGUUCCAACUGAUCGAGCUUCUGAUAGACUACAAAAUAGAAGAAAUACAACUACGUAAGCAUUUAUUGCUUAGUAAGCUAGUAUAAGGUUAACUUUAACUUACCGAACAUGAAUCGAUAAAUCAUUCAACCAAGUUCAUUUCAACAUUUAAACAUUAUACCUUCCUAUCCACCAUAAUCCACAUGGUUAAUAACCAACAUAUAAACAUAACAUCUAUGUGAUAUAGCGUAUACUAGGAAAUGAAUUUCCAUAAUUCAUCUUUUCCACCACAUGAUAAAAACUCACCAUUAGCAUUUCAUAAAGUCAUGAACAACAAUUAAUUAUAAACAGCCUUUCUUUAACUUUUGCUUACCCAUUGAGCUUAAUAGAAUCACAACGGUUAUCUGAUUCACAACACUGGCACGAAGCCUACUAGGCCCAAGGUCUAAUUUCAUACACCGGCACAAAUCCUGAUAGGCUUAAGGUCUGAUUCCAUACACUGACACGAAGCUUGCUAGGCUGAAGGCCUGAUUUCAUACACUAGCUCGAAGCCUGCUAGAUUCAAAACCCGAUACAUGUCUCCAAUUUAACUCAAUUUCCAUCAUAAAAAAAAUGUAAUCACAACCACCAUGAAGAAUUAAAUAGAACAAUUAGCUAAAAAUUUAAUAUAAAAAAUUGUAUAAUACGAGCUUACCUCGAUAAUUAUGGUUGCAAAAAUAGAGUCGAAUCUUAGUCCAACGCUUUAACUUUUCCCCGAUUUAAGUUUGGUUGUUGCAUAUCUUGAUCUAAAUAAUAUUUUCAUUCACUUAAGUAUUUAAAUUAACUUCAAAUAUCCAAUUAAACCAAUAAUACAUAUUAAUAUGAAAUUACAAAAUUAUCCCUAAUAUUUUAACUUAUAAACAAUUAAAUCCCCAAAUCCUUAACUUAUGAAUUAACCAUUUUCCAUCACCAAACAUACUAGCCAAUUUUUAAUAAGGUUCUAAACAAUCCAUAUUUACUUAAAAUUUCACAUAACCUUAAGGAAUUUUACACUUUUAACCAAUAAAUCCUUAACCUUAACUUCAUAAAAUAUCAUUAAAAUUCAUUUAACAAAUCAUGUUCAUUUAACUACUAGAUUUAAUAAUCUACCGACUAAAAUCACAAAAUCAUCAAACUCUUUCAUGGAAAAUCCCUCAAUCUUUAACAGUUUUGCAAAUUAACCCUCGAGCUAAGUAGGUUAUGCUAAAACGAGUUCAAAAACAUAAAAUCAUUAAAAGCGGAACUCAAAAUCUUACCAUGCAUGAGCAAAACCACAACCAAAAGUUUCCUCCUUAACAAUGGUGUUCGACCAAGAAAGAAAAGAAAAUUGAUGAAGAUGAUGCUUAUUUCAUCUUUAUUCUAUUACUUUUAACUUAUUUAUUAAAUUACUAAUCUAACCUUUAAAAAUCAUUAAAACUACAAUAAAACCUAUCUGUAAACAUCCACUAACCUUAAUUAUGGUAUAUUUACUUUCCAAGUCCAUUGAUUUACCUAUUCAAAGUCAUUUGACCCUUUUUAUCUAAUAGAACCCACUUUUGCAAACUUUACAAAUUAGUCCUUUUUUACUUAAUUAACUAAAUAAAUAUUAAAAUUUCUUAACAAAAAUUUAGUAUGAUCCCAAUAUGACCACAUAAAAAUUAAAUAAAAAUAAAAUAUUUACUCACUUUUCGGAAUCGUGGUCCCGAAAUCAUUAUUUUUGACACCACUAAAAUCGGGUUGUUAACUACCAUUAACAAUGAAGAAAAACUUUGGGUUUUCUUCGAUGAUAACAAAGGCAAGGAGAGAAUAUGAAAUGAAAAUCUUCUCUCCACUACUAAGUUGUCUUAUUUAUAGCUAUCUCUAGCCCAAAUCCCACUCAGGUUUAAUCUCUAAUCAGUAAUCAUGCACGCACGCUUCCACUAAUUAAUCACAUCCUACGAGGCUCUUAGGUGUCCUGGUUGUUGUAAACGAAAUUAUAUAGGAUUUUUUAUAGUAAUUUUUACCACCUUUUUGCUUAAAAAUAAUAUUAAUCUUGAGUAUUUGUUAAUUAAUUAAGUGAAUUUUGCUUAAAUGUUAAUAAUGGACAUGAAUUUAUAAAGUAUGCAAAUUUGUCCUUUUUUAUAUGAUUUUGUGCAUAAAAUUAAAGUAUUUCAUGUUAUUUAUUAAUAUGUUAAAUUUACUUAUGCAGUGGACCAUAGAGUUGAGUGUUGCAUGGACAUGAGUUAUUAUUCUCAUGUGUUGGAUGGCAAGACUAAGAUUAAUGGGUCAUCAAGAUGCCGCAUUGACCAAAUAAAAAAUAUGAUACAUGUUGGUCAAGUCUACAAGCUAGUUGGGUCAUUAAUAGCCCAAUUCAAGAGAAGAGAGGCCCAAUUCGGCAACCACAAUUGGGCAGCCAAGAAAUCAAUUUUGGGACAAUUAUUUGAAGGUCCGCAAACUUGGAAGAACAUUGGAAAUUGGCACACAAGAUUUGCUUGAGAAAAUGUCCACACCUUGCAUGAUUCAAACAUGAUUUCAUGCUUGAAUCAAGCAACCAAACCACAUUCUCUUCCACAUAUCAUGGUUGGCCAUAAGGAGAGAGAAAUCCAAGGGAUUAUUAUUGCUAUUUUUAGUAAACUCUCCUACCUAGUUCAAUUUUAAAUACCAUACCUAUCUCACCUUUUCAAUCAUCCCUUACUCAUCUCUUCAUCCCUCAUUUUCACAACAUUCUUCAUUCCCUUUCUUGCUCUCUUCAUCCACCAUCCCUAUCAUUCCAUUUUUCCCUUUAGUUUUUAGCCAGUAAAAGCCUUGAAAAGAUCAUCUCUUAGUCGACCACCUUGAGGAGCCAUUAGCAAAAGUGCAACAAGAGGAGCGAAGGAAAACACCUUCAAUCAGAGUUCGCGAGGCUGCCGACUUGAAAUAGAGUUUAUUCUUCCCUUACUUGUUGUUUUAAAUUAAUUAUGCUUGCAAUGUGUUUUGUGAUCUUGACAUCAGCAAUGGUAGCUUAAAUCUAUUUAGCUAAGUUAAAUGCAUUAAUUCAAUGAGAUUUGUUUGAUUCA